RNAcentral lists this ribosomal RNA (497 nucleotides) under uncultured bacterium. RNAcentral's name for it is "partial 16S ribosomal RNA". It matches the Rfam family "Bacterial small subunit ribosomal RNA", at positions 28 to 507 of the family's 1533-position model. The record is from RNAcentral.
GAUGAACGCUGGCGGCGUGCCUAAUACAUGCAAGUCGAGCGAACAGACGAGGAGCUUGCUCCUCUGACGUUAGCGGCGGACGGGUGAGUAACACGUGGAUAACCUACCUAUAAGACUGGGAUAACUUCGGGAAACCGGAGCUAAUACCGGAUAAUAUAUUGAACCGCAUGGUUCAAUAGUGAAAGACGGUUUUGCUGUCACUUAUAGAUGGAUCCGCGCCGCAUUAGCUAGUUGGUAAGGUAACGGCUUACCAAGGCGACGAUGCGUAGCCGACCUGAGAGGGUGUCCGGCCACACUGGACCUGAGACCCGGUCCAGCCUCCUACGGGAGGCAGCAGUAGGGAAUCUCCCGCAGUGGGCGAAAGCCUGACGGAGCACCGCCGCGGGAGUGAUGAAGGUCUUCGGAUCGUAAAACUCUGUUAUUAGGGAAAAACAAAUGUGUAAGUAACUAUGCACGUCUUGACGGUACCUAAUCAGAAAGCCACGGCUAACUACGUG